Molecule: ribosomal RNA, 260 nt
Filed under: uncultured Bacillota bacterium
Lineage: Bacteria; Bacillati; Bacillota
Description: uncultured Firmicutes bacterium partial 16S ribosomal RNA
Rfam family: Bacterial small subunit ribosomal RNA
Source: RNAcentral
CCUACGGGAGGCAGCAGUAGGGAAUCUUCCACAAUGGGCGAAAGCCUGAUGGAGCAACGCCGCGUGUGUGAUGAAGGGUUUCGGCUCGUAAAACACUGUUGUAAGAGAAGAAUGACAUUGAGAGUAACUGCUCAAUGUGUGACGGUAUCUUACCAGAAAGGAACGGCUAAAUACGUGCCAGCAGCCGCGGUAAUACGUAUGUUCCAAGCGUUAUCCGGAUUUAUUGGGCGUAAAGCGAGCGCAGACGGUUAUUUAAGUCU